RNAcentral lists this ribosomal RNA (301 nucleotides) under uncultured bacterium. Its description in RNAcentral is "partial 16S ribosomal RNA". It matches the Rfam family "Bacterial small subunit ribosomal RNA", at positions 509 to 807 of the family's 1533-position model. The record is from RNAcentral.
CAGUCGCCGCGGUAAUACGUAGGUGGCAAGCGUUAUCCGGAAUUAUUGGGCGUAAAGCGCGCGUAGGCGGUUUCUUAAGUCUGAUGUGAAAGCCCACGGCUCAACCGUGGAGGGUCAUUGGAAACUGGGAAACUUGAGUGCAGAAGAGGAAAGUGGAAUUCCAUGUGUAGCGGUGAAAUGCGCAGAGAUAUGGAGGAACACCAGUGGCGAAGGCGACUUUCUGGUCUGUAACUGACGCUGAUGUGCGAAAGCGUGGGGAUCAAACAGGAUUAGAUACCCCUGUAGUCCCUGUCUCUUAUAC